ACGCUGGCGGCGUGCCUAACACAUGCAAGUCGAACGGGGUCAGUUGCUUCGGUGAUUGACUUAGUGGCGAACGGGUGAGUAACGCGUGAGGAACCUGCCUUUCAGUGGGGGACAACAGUUGGAAACGACUGCUAAUACCGCAUAAUGUUAUUUGGGGGCAUCCCUGAAUAACCAAAGCUUUAUGUGCUGAAAGAUGGUCUCGCGUCUGAUUAGCUAGAUGGCGGGGUAACGGCCCACCAUGGCGACGAUCAGUAGCCGGACUGAGAGGUUGAACGGCCACAUUGGGACUGAGACACGGCCCAGACUCCUACGGGAGGCAGCAGUGGGGAAUAUUGGGCAAUGGGCGAAAGCCUGACCCAGCAACGCCGCGUGAGGGAAGAAGGGUUUCGGCUCGUAAACCUCUGUCCUAUGGGACGAAGAAGUGACGGUACCAUAGGAGGAAGCCCCGGCUAACUACGUG
RNAcentral lists this ribosomal RNA (460 nucleotides) under uncultured bacterium. RNAcentral's name for it is "bacterial SSU rRNA". It matches the Rfam family "Bacterial small subunit ribosomal RNA", at positions 33 to 507 of the family's 1533-position model. The record is from RNAcentral.